CUUUAAAGAGACUGCCGGUGUUAAACCGGAGGAAGGUGGGGAUGACGUCAAGUCCUCAUGGCCUUUAUGCUUAGGGCUACACACGUGCUACAAUGGGUGGUACAAAGAGAAGCCAACUCGCGAGAGCGCGCCAAUCUCAAAAAGCCAUCCUCAGUUCGGAUUGGAGUCUGCAACUCGACUCCAUGAAGUUGGAAUCGCUAGUAAUCGCGGAUCAGCAUGCCGCGGUGAAUACGUUCCCGGGCCUU
RNAcentral lists this ribosomal RNA (245 nucleotides) under uncultured Smithella sp. RNAcentral describes it as "partial 16S ribosomal RNA". It matches the Rfam family "Bacterial small subunit ribosomal RNA", at positions 1138 to 1382 of the family's 1533-position model. Lineage: Bacteria; Pseudomonadati; Thermodesulfobacteriota; Syntrophia; Syntrophales; Smithellaceae. The record is from RNAcentral.